CAUAUGCCACAAGAAACCUCCACAUCAGAGCAGAAGCACCAUCUCUGAACUCUCUGGCCAGCUGCCAAGAAGUCUGUGCAUGAUGUUUCUGUUCUUUAUAAGGAUGAGACCUUGCUCAUCCUUGGACUUCAUGUGACAGAAAGACACUGAAAAGGAAUAGUCAUUUUUGGAAACUGAAAAAAUGGCAAUUUGUCAAAGUUUGCGGAAGAAAUAAACAACAGAGCUAUGAUUCAGGCUUAGAAAAUCUGGACCUCAGCUCCCUUGCUGACCUGCAGGGUGAUAUUCUGUUCAGCAAUCCUAAUGGAUGCCUGAAAAAUGUCUCCAGUGAAUGACUUCUGCAUCUUCAUCUAACCUCUGUUUCUGAAGUGCUUCUCUGAAGAGCCAACAAACUUUAACAUUUGACCUGACACAUAUACUGACAACAUGAAACAGAAAGCAGAAUCAUUGGUGCAAGUUUGCACUGAGAAGAGACAAUGAAAUUUAAAAGGUCUAUUGACCAUGAAGCAGCCAAAUGAGUGAGCUUGCAAUGCAAUGCAGAUGCAAAUAUAAAGCAGUGAGGCCCUACAUGCACAUUGCUUAAUAAGGUUUCCUCAGCAGCUGGAAAGAUCAGAUGCAAAUGUUUUAAAUCAAAACAGUUUUGCUUCAUCUGUGGCAGGAGGGGCUAUUCAGAUCAGCUAUCAAUGAGCUCCAGGAUGACAUCACCCGAAGCACAAGAAGGUACCUUUGUGCUGGGGCCCUUCCCCUGCUGGCUCCUGCUACACAUCCCACCCCCAGCCUGUGUCCCUCCCCUGCCCAGAAAUGCUCCCUCAUUCCCCCUGCUGAAUGCAAGGCACCUCUGGGAAGCUGGCAGAGCCCUCUGCAAGCGCCAGCAGUGUGUGCUAGAGCAAGGAGCUUCCACCCCAACGCGUUCAGCAGCCUCAGCAACCUGCAGUGGGGCCUCUGCUGCCCUCUUCAUCUGCUUCAAACGCAGUCAAACCUGCAUGCUGCUGACUGAUGAGACAGACAGGGCAACUGGGGCAACUCAAUUAUUUUCAAGGCUGGAACCCCUUUGGUAGGAUGUGCAAUGGCACACAAUUUAACCUUAACCUUGUUAUAGCACACAACUGCUGUUAAAUAAGCAGAGUGAAAAAUACUACAUUUGUAACCUCACUUAUGAAGAAACUGCAAACACAGUUUGCUGUUUUACAAUCAUUAACAGAUUUGUUUAUAGUUGGCUUGCAUGCUUGCCUGUUUAAUAAGGCCUGUGACAGUUUUCACGACAUGCAAGAACAAAAGAACAGACACCCAAUGCACAUCCUGGCCAAUGCUAUUUCAUGCAGAGAAAUGGGGCAGGGGCAGCUGCAAGUGGACACUACCACAGGAAACAAGUACCACUGAAUUAAACCAGAGAGAAACCUGCACAGAAAACAGGAGUCUAUAGAAAUGGGUGAGACUGAGGGCUGAAUGUUCCCAUUAAAAGCUCAAGUCACUCACAGUUACCCAUGACAGCAUCUAUCUUCUGUUCAUUAGAGCAAUUCUGGACACACCCCUCUUCCCUGUGCCUACUCCUGGAAAUAGAAGCACAUUUCCCUAAUAGCUCUCAGUCUCCAAUCAGCUGAUCUGUGAUGGUGUACAUGUGCAGAAACAUCCACUGGGAAAGUAUGUGUACAAUUUUGAGGACAUGCAAUGGAUUUAGAGCUGCAAUGGGUUAUUUCUAUUUAGAUGGCAUAGAGUAGCAUAAGCUGGAACUCCUUUACACAUCCAGGGAAGGAAACCUUCCCAGAGGAAAAGGGGCUCACUUACCGUCAACAU
This is a long non-coding RNA of Zonotrichia leucophrys gambelii, 1791 nucleotides long. RefSeq lists it as uncharacterized. NCBI's taxonomy places the organism in Eukaryota, Metazoa, Chordata, Aves, Passeriformes, Passerellidae. The transcript is spliced from 4 exons. The record is from RefSeq and is a predicted model, not a curated record.